CUGUGUUUGUGUCAAGUAGGAAUUUAAAGAAAUUAACAAUUUCUUAAAUGAUCAAGGGGGUAUUUGUCAAGCACACAACCACACCUUUAAGCAUUGACGACCUGCUUGUGGUUGUUUGUAUGUGUGUGCGUAUGUAUGUACGAGGUGUGAUGAGCGCGCGUAAGAGGUGACGAGGAGGUUGAAAGGAAAAAGGACCUGGAUAGCUGAACUGGUGGCGUUUGUGAGAGGUCACAGUAGCAAUAGCAGCAAUAGCAACAUAUUUCCUGUCAUCUGUAAACUGACUACCCCUAAAGGCGGUGAAUGUGUGGCAGACACAUGAGUUGGUGCCUUGCAACAUCAUAUCAGUGGCUGGGACAUUGAAGUCAACGGUCGCGUAGAAGAUCGGAUAAGAGCAAAUAAGGAAGUGAAGAAGUAAAGUGUAGUGAAGUGGACUAGUAACAUGGCUGGAAAGUGUAAGAAAAAAAGGAAACUGUAAAUGCGAUGUUAACUGUAUUUUUUUAUUUUUUUUUUUUAUGUAUGGUUUAACUAGAUAUGCUGAUCGGAAAAAUAAGAUGGUUAAAGGUUUA
RNAcentral lists this long non-coding RNA (566 nucleotides) under Penaeus monodon (black tiger shrimp). RNAcentral's name for it is "uncharacterized LOC119574851, transcript variant X2". Lineage: Eukaryota; Metazoa; Arthropoda; Malacostraca; Decapoda; Penaeidae. The record is from RNAcentral.